RNAcentral lists this ribosomal RNA (357 nucleotides) under uncultured bacterium. RNAcentral describes it as "bacterial SSU rRNA". It matches the Rfam family "Bacterial small subunit ribosomal RNA", at positions 22 to 356 of the family's 1533-position model. The record is from RNAcentral.
GCUCAGGACGAACGCUGGCGGCGUGCCUAACACAUGCAAGUCGAACGGAGAUAAGCGCUGAUGAUUUAGCUUGCUAGAGAUUCUUGCUUAUCUUAGUGGCGGACGGGUGAGUAACGCGUGAGCAACCUGCCUUUCAGAGGGGGAUAACGUCUUGAAAAGGACGCUAAUACCGCAUGAUAUUAUGGAGCCACAUGGCUCUAUAAUCAAAGGAGCAAUCCGCUGAAAGAUGGGCUCGCGUCCGAUUAGGUAGUUGGCGGAUAACAGCCCACCAAGCCGACGAUCGGUAGCCGGACUGAGAGGUUGAACGGCCACAUUGGGACUGAGACACGGCCCAGACUCCUACGGGAGGCAGCAGUA